UGAGUAUCUACCCCUGGAGCCCUGGAGGGUCUCCCCAACCCUCCUCUGUGGGACCUUGUUCCUCAUCUCGUCUGACUUCCUCCUCCCGCCCAACUUCCCUACCCUCCGGCCAGUGUCCCCCGGGGAACUUUCCUAACAAAGCGCUUUCAACAAGCCCUCCUCCCCGGGUCGGUCUCAGAGGCAUCCAACCCAGACCCAGAGCAGUGCGCACGAGGCUGGAUAUUCCAGAAGCCGAGCUGAGCUGACGCCUCACCCCAGAAUCCCCCGCCCCCACCCAUCUCCAGGGUUCAAGGGCUCGAGCGCAUGUGAUUUAAAAUCACGGGGCGGGGCUGUUAAAACUACGAAUCCUACCCGAGCAGGUGUGCAUGGAGUUUCCAGACGCUGCGUGACCGGCAGUAUCGCAGCGGAUCGAGUGCAGGAGUCGACGCAAGCGUCUCUCUGCUCCCCAGGCACAAAUGAGCGAGAAUUGCAGAGAUGUGAACCAAUGCCCAGCUUCAAUUUGUGCGCGUGUUGGAAAGUACAGUGACCUUUCGAGGAAACGCGGUUUCUCUUGAA
Leopardus geoffroyi (Geoffroy's cat) is the source of this 555-nucleotide long non-coding RNA. RefSeq lists it as uncharacterized. Lineage: Eukaryota; Metazoa; Chordata; Mammalia; Carnivora; Felidae. The record is from RefSeq and is a predicted model, not a curated record. The transcript has 2 exons.